AUGGGGCUUCUUCUUCGCGGCAAAGCCCGCCAGCGAGACGUGCCCGACGCCCGGGUGCUAGGUGCAGUACGGCCAGGAGAAGGCGUACUACGGCGGCGAGGGCGGCCGGGAGGCAGUGGCGUUCCGGCGCAGGUUCGCGUACCGCUACACGUGGAGGGACGGGGAGGUAAUACCGCCGACGCGCUGGCGGAUGAAGGAGUACCGGCUCAACAGGAACGCGGCCGCCUUCCGCCGCGCGCACCCGGGCCGCCUGGCGGCGGACGUCGUCUUCGUGGUCCACAAGGUCUACAGGAAGCCGCUGAUCCCUCGCCGCCGCCGCCGCCUGUCGACAGCAGCUCCAGCGACGACGAGGGCUCCGAGAGCUACAUCGUGUACCUGCGACUCGACGAGCUCAUGCGGCGGUUAACGCUGGGGAACUAG
This 420-nucleotide ribosomal RNA is filed under the name Triticum aestivum (bread wheat). RNAcentral describes it as "partial small subunit ribosomal RNA". The record is from RNAcentral. Lineage: Eukaryota; Viridiplantae; Streptophyta; Magnoliopsida; Poales; Poaceae.